RNAcentral lists this ribosomal RNA (1082 nucleotides) under Leotiomycetes sp. genotype 539. RNAcentral's name for it is "eukaryotic LSU rRNA". The stretch from base 485 to 1082 matches the Rfam family "Eukaryotic large subunit ribosomal RNA", at positions 1 to 601 of the family's 3401-position model. The record is from RNAcentral. Lineage: Eukaryota; Fungi; Ascomycota; Leotiomycetes.
GAUCAUUACAGAGUUCAUGCCCUGCAAAGGGUAGACCUCCCACCCGUGUGUAUCAAUACCAUGUUGCUUUGGCAGGCCUGCCGUCAGGCUGCCGGCUCCCCGGAGCUGGUGCGUGCCUGCCAAAGGACCCCUAAACUCUGUUUAUUAGUGUCGUCUGAGUACUAUAUAAUAGUUAAAACUUUCAACAACGGAUCUCUUGGUUCUGGCAUCGAUGAAGAACGCAGCGAAAUGCGAUAAGUAAUGUGAAUUGCAGAAUUCAGUGAAUCAUCGAAUCUUUGAACGCACAUUGCGCCCCUUGGUAUUCCGGGGGGCAUGCCUGUUCGAGCGUCAUUUCAACCCUCAAGCGUAGCUUGGUCUUGGGUCCUGCCGGCAACGGCAGGCCUUAAAAUUAGUGGCGGUGCCCUGUUGUGGCCCUGAGCGUAGUAACUUUUCUCGCUAUGGGUGCCCCAGGAUGGCUUGCCAACAACCCCAAUUUUUCUAUGGUUGACCUCGGAUCAGGUAGGGAUACCCGCUGAACUUAAGCAUAUCAAUAAGCGGAGGAAAAGAAACCAACAGGGAUUGCCUCAGUAACGGCGAGUGAAGCGGCAAAAGCUCAAAUUUGAAAUCUGGCUCUUUCAGGGUCCGAGUUGUAAUUUGUAGAAGAUGUUUCGGGUGUGGCCCCGGUCUAAGUUCCUUGGAACAGGACGUCAUAGAGGGUGAGAAUCCCGUAUGUGACUGGGUGCCUACGCCUAUGUGAAACUCUUUCGACGAGUCGAGUUGUUUGGGAAUGCAGCUCAAAAUGGGUGGUAAAUUUCAUCUAAAGCUAAAUAUUGGCCAGAGACCGAUAGCGCACAAGUAGAGUGAUCGAAAGAUGAAAAGCACUUUGGAAAGAGAGUUAAACAGUACGUGAAAUUGUUGAAAGGGAAGCGCUUGCAAUCAGACUUGCGCCUGGGCGAUCAUCUGGGGUUCUCCCCAGUGCACUCGUUCAGGCUCAGGCCAGCAUCGGUUUCGGUGGUUGGAUAAAGGCCUUGGGAAUGUGGCCCCUCUCGGGGGGUGUUAUAGCCCUCGGUGCAAUGCAGCCUACCGGGACCGAGGACCGCGCU